RNAcentral lists this ribosomal RNA (301 nucleotides) under uncultured bacterium. RNAcentral's name for it is "partial 16S ribosomal RNA". It matches the Rfam family "Bacterial small subunit ribosomal RNA", at positions 509 to 807 of the family's 1533-position model. The record is from RNAcentral.
CAGUCGCCACGGGAAUACGAAGGGUGCAAGCGUUAAUCGGAAUUACUGGGCGUAAAGCGUGCGUAGGCGGUUUGUUAAGUCUGCUGUGAAAUCCCCGGGCUCAACCUGGGAAUGGCAGUGGAUACUGGCAAGCUAGAGUGUGUCAGAGGAUGGUGGAAUUCCCGGUGUAGCGGUGAAAUGCGUAGAGAUCGGGAGGAACAUCAGUGGCGAAGGCGGCCAUCUGGGACAACACUGACGCUGAGGCACGAAAGCGUGGGGAGCAAACAGGAUUAGAUACCCGCGUAGUCCCUGUCUCUUAUAC